UGGUAGUGUAUUGGACAACCAUGGCUUUAACGGGUAACGGAGGAUUAGGGCUCGAUUCCGGAGAGGGAGCCUGAGAAACGGCUACCACAUCUAAGGAAGGCAGCAGGCGCGUAAAUUACCCAAUCCUAAUUCAGGGAGGUAGUGACAAGAAAUAACGGACUGAGGCCUACGCUUCAGGAUUGCAAUGAGUAGAAUUUAAACCCCUUUGCGAGGAUCAAUUGGAGGGCAAGUCUGGUGCCAGCAGCCGCGGUAAUUCCAGCUCCAAUAGCGUAUAUUAAAGUUGUUGCAGUUAAAAAGCUCGUAGUUGGAUUUCUGGGAGGGUGCCAAUGUCCGCUUGUUGCGUGUGCAGCGGCGCCCUCCCAUCCUUCUGUUAACGUUUCUUGGUAUUAACUUACUGGUUGCGGGCUCAGAUAUUUUACCUUGAGAAAAUUAGAGUGUUUAAGGCAGGCUUGUGCCCGAAUACAUUAGCAUGGAAUAAUAGAAUAGGACUUUGGUCUCCUUUGUUGGUUUGAGGGACUAGAGUAAUGAUUAAUAGGGACAGUUGGGGGCAUUAGUAUUUAAUUGUCAGAGGUGAAAUUCUCGGAUUUGUUAAAGACUAACUUAUGCGAAAGCAUUUGCCAAGGAUGUUUUC
Molecule: ribosomal RNA, 631 nt
Filed under: uncultured ciliate
Lineage: Eukaryota; Ciliophora
Description: SSU rRNA
Rfam family: Eukaryotic small subunit ribosomal RNA
Source: RNAcentral